Long non-coding RNA from Raphanus sativus (radish), 1700 nucleotides. RefSeq lists it as uncharacterized. The record is from RefSeq and is a predicted model, not a curated record. The transcript has 4 exons. NCBI's taxonomy places the organism in Eukaryota, Viridiplantae, Streptophyta, Magnoliopsida, Brassicales, Brassicaceae.
GUCUUACAAGAAAGCCAGCCCAGAUUGCGUGAAUUACUUAUGGUCUUGAUCCUCAUCGUUUCCUGAUUUAGGGUUCCACCAUAGUCGUCGAUAUCCGCCAUUAGAGACGUGAUGUAGGGUUCCACCACGAUCAUCUAAAUCAUCACUAGAGAGACUGAGAUGCAGACGUCUGUGUGACGAUUCUUGGGUUUCGAUCACUCCUUUCGCCUUCUUUCCACCCAUCGCAGUAAACGAGAUAGUAAACAUCGUUUAUUUCUGACGAGGUAUGAGUUACCCAAUGGUUUUACAGCAAGUGAAAAUACCCAGUGCUUGGAAGUUUAGUGAAAAUGAAUGCUCUGAUGUUACGACAAGAGAGAACCGGCAGUUCGGUGGUGCUGUGUUGUGUGAUGUAUCUGAGAUAUUGUAAUGUCUUGGUUCUGUUGAGUUUUGUACUAUGGGCGGAUAAUGCGAGGAACCCUGUUGUGAAUCCUUUAGCUUGGAUUUACCCGGGGAUGACGACUUACUAAUGUGUGUCAACUAAAGACACUGUAAGUCAAAACUCUCUCAUGCCACAUCUAUUUGGCUCUAAUGAUUGGAUCCAAGAUCUCACAUUAAAAAUGUUUGUUGCUGAGAUUUAAGCUCAAACAUGUUAACUGGUCCAGUUCCAGUUACAUUUACGAAUCAGGAUUAUAGCUUUACAUGUCUUCAAAUGAUCAAAGUUUUGUUGAUGAUUUAACCCGUGUCUUGGAAAAAAAAACUGAUUUUUUUUGUGCUUUAGAUUCUUGAGUAAUAACUACUUAACAAGUCAAGUUCCUCUAUUUGUCCUCAACAGUCGAGACAUGCUGUAAGCUACUUACAUUCGGGUUCCUGUCUAAGGCAAGACAUAGUAUGUAUAGUCAAGUGCUUAUUGUGUCCUUUCUUGAUCUGUUUCAGGGUGAUUGUUGCUACAAUCAUUAACCCAAAAAUGGGUGGAGGUAUUGAAUGUUUCAGAUUAUUGAGUAUUAUCUGAUCUUAUAUACAUAGAUUGCUGAUCCUAAGAUUGUAGGACGUAUAUUCCUCAGUGAAUUUUAAUCGUUAAUUUCUGCGCCUUACUCAUUCACUUAUUCUAAUUUAAUAUUACUCUCUUGGUUAAACGUGGCUACAUAAUAGCUUCUUGAACACCCAUUAAAUCUUUUUCUUUUAGGCCGCCUUUUCUUAAUGCCACAUAGGGGACACAUAUAUUUUUCGACAAAGAGGCUAAUGCAGUGACGAUUUUGUUUUCCGAUUUGGUCUCGAGAAACACUCUGAACAACCCAGACCUGCAUUUCUGAGAGGAUACGUCAAGGUUGAAACCACUGAGCAUAUCUGAGCUGAAUGAGUUCGUGAUCACAGCCGAGCCUCAGGAUGGUGAUGAUGGUGAAGGAGACGACUUGCCUGGGAACAUCUCAGCCCUUCCUAACGUUGGUAUCGAAGGUAACGAACGUGUGGAAACCUCAUCGGCAAGAUCAUCCUCCAGUGGUCAUGCCUUUCAACAACUUUGAAUGUGUUCAAGAAGGCACGAAAGGCUUAAGUGAACAUGAUGAAGUUUCUCGAGUCAGUUUUCAUUUUUCAAUAAUGCUUAGGCAUCAAGGUUGGUUAUUUUAAAUUUCAAAUUCUUGAGUCAGACUUCCUCUUUGAAUAAUGCAUAGGCAUCAAUGUUUCUUUCUAAAUAAAAAUUCUCCUCAUUUGGAGUUUUCUAUGUU